GUGCUCGCUUACGCAGCACAUAUACUAAAACCGGAAUGAUGCAGAGAAGAUUAGCAUGGCCCCUGCGCAAGGAUGACAUGCACAUUUGUGAAGCAUUCCAUAUUUUA
This is a small nuclear RNA of Neomonachus schauinslandi (Hawaiian monk seal), 107 nucleotides long. The record is from RefSeq and is a predicted model, not a curated record. NCBI's taxonomy places the organism in Eukaryota, Metazoa, Chordata, Mammalia, Carnivora, Phocidae.